RNAcentral lists this ribosomal RNA (450 nucleotides) under uncultured Clostridium sp. RNAcentral's name for it is "partial 16S ribosomal RNA". The stretch from base 33 to 396 matches the Rfam family "Bacterial small subunit ribosomal RNA", at positions 39 to 400 of the family's 1533-position model. The record is from RNAcentral. Lineage: Bacteria; Bacillati; Bacillota; Clostridia; Eubacteriales; Clostridiaceae.
UNGAAUAANAUUUUUUUUUNUGAUGACCGCUGGCGGCGUGUUUAACACAUGCAAGUCGAGCGAGGGAGCACCUUCGGGUGUGAACUAUCGGCGGACGGGUGAGUAACACGUGGGCAACCUGCCUUCCAGAGGGGGAUAGCCUUCCGAAAGGAAGAUUAAUACCGCAUAUUAUGAUUUUCCCGCAUGGGGCACUCAUGAAAGGAGCAUUCCGCUGUAAGAUGGGCCCGCCGCGCCUUGCCUUUGGUGAGGAAGGGUUCCCCCGGCGACAAUGCCUACCCUACCUUAUGGGUGAUCCUCCAAUUUGUUCUGAUACCCCCCCCCACCCCCCACGGGAGGACCGUGUUAAAUUCGUCACUCCUUUAACCCCCCCCCAUCACCCCCCGUCAUUCAUGCCGCCCUCGGUUCUAACCUCCUCCUCCGUCCCAUUAUUUUUUUCCUUACAGUCUUCCC